AGAAUGACUCUCGGCAACGGAUAUCUAGGCUCUUGCAUCGAUGAAGAACGUAGCGAAAUGCGAUACUUGGUGUGAAUUGCAAAAUCCCGUGAACCAUCGAGUCUUUGAACGCAAGUUGCUCCCGAAGCCAUCAGGUUGAGGGCACGUCUGCCUGGGCGUCACAU
RNAcentral lists this ribosomal RNA (164 nucleotides) under Astragalus pallescens. Its description in RNAcentral is "5.8S ribosomal RNA". It matches the Rfam family "5.8S ribosomal RNA". Rfam says of the family: 5.8S ribosomal RNA (5.8S rRNA) is a component of the large subunit of the eukaryotic ribosome. It is transcribed by RNA polymerase I as part of the 45S precursor that also contains 18S and 28S rRNA. The record is from RNAcentral. Lineage: Eukaryota; Viridiplantae; Streptophyta; Magnoliopsida; Fabales; Fabaceae.